CCCUGCCAUUUGUACACACCGCCCGUCGCUACUACCGAUUGGAAGUUUUAGUGAGGCAUUUGGACCUGCCUACCAAUGGAAGGGCAACCGACCUGGUCUGGCGGGGAAGUCUGUCGAACUCAAAUUUCUAGAGGAAGUAAAAGUCGUAACAAG
RNAcentral lists this ribosomal RNA (153 nucleotides) under uncultured eukaryote. Its description in RNAcentral is "partial small subunit ribosomal RNA". It matches the Rfam family "Eukaryotic small subunit ribosomal RNA", at positions 1651 to 1798 of the family's 1831-position model. The record is from RNAcentral.